AGAGUUUGAUCCUGGCUCAGGAUGAACGCUAGCGGCAGGCUUAAUACAUGCAAGUCGAGGGGCAGCACGAAUAGCAAUAUUUGGUGGCGACCGGCAAACGGGUGCGGAACACGUACGCAACCUUCCCAAAACAGGUGAAUAGCCCUCCGAAAGGAGGAUUAAUACACCGUAAGAUAUGGAUGUGGCAUCACGAUCAUAUUAUAGAUAGCGAUAUCGGUUUUGGAUGGGCGUGCGCCUGAUUAGGUAGUUGGUGCGGGUAACGGCCCACCAAGCCUCCGAUCAGUAACUGGUGUGAGAGCACGACCAGUCACACGGGCACUGAGACACGGGCCCGACUCCUACGGGAGGCAGCAGUAAGGAAUAUUGGUCAAUGGACGGAAGUCUGAACCAGCCAUGCCGCGUGCAGGAUGAAGGCCCUCUGGGUUGU
Molecule: ribosomal RNA, 427 nt
Filed under: uncultured bacterium
Lineage: Bacteria
Description: bacterial SSU rRNA
Rfam family: Bacterial small subunit ribosomal RNA
Source: RNAcentral